Molecule: ribosomal RNA, 248 nt
Filed under: uncultured Caldilineaceae bacterium
Lineage: Bacteria; Bacillati; Chloroflexota; Caldilineae; Caldilineales; Caldilineaceae
Description: partial 16S ribosomal RNA
Rfam family: Bacterial small subunit ribosomal RNA
Source: RNAcentral
CACGCUGUAAACGAUGAGCACUAGGUGUAGGCGGUGUCAAAGCUGUCUGUGCCGAAGCAAACGCGAUAAGUGCUCCGCCUGGGGAGUACGGCCGCAAGGCUAAAACUCAAAGGAAUUGACGGGGGCCCGCACAAGCAGCGGAGCGUGUGGUUUAAUUCGAUGCAACGCGAAGAACCUUACCUGGGCUUGACAUGCAUGUAGUAGUGAAGCGAAAGCGGAACGACCCUUCGGGGAGCAUGCACAGGUGC